AUGGAGGACGGUGCCGCUCCGCCCGGCCUCUCCUCCGCGGCAGGGGCGCCGCGGCGCGGGUGGUGGGUGGAGAAGGACGACGACGACGCGGUGUACCUGACGGUGCCGAUGCUGGGGCUCGGGAAGGAGCGCGUGAAGGUGUGGGCGGAGCGGAACAUCCUGGUGAUCAAGGGCGAGGGCGAGAAGGCGCCCCGGAAAGGCGACUACGACCCCGCGAUGUCAAGGUACAGCCACCGCAUCGAGAUGCCCGCUGGCGCGUACAAGAUGGACAAGAUCAAGGCCGAGAUGAAGAACUUCGUGCUGAAGGUGACCUUGCCCAAGCUGAAGGAGGAGGAGCGCAAGGACGUGUUCCAGGUGAAGAUCGAGUAG
Molecule: ribosomal RNA, 369 nt
Filed under: Triticum aestivum (bread wheat)
Lineage: Eukaryota; Viridiplantae; Streptophyta; Magnoliopsida; Poales; Poaceae
Description: partial small subunit ribosomal RNA
Source: RNAcentral